AACGCACAUUGCGCCCCUCGGUAUUCCGUGGGGCAUGCCUGUUCGAGCGUCAUCUACACCCUCAAGCUCUGCUUGGUGUUGGGCGUCUGUCCCGCCUCUGCGCGCGGACUCGCCCCAAAUUCAUUGGCAGCGGUCUUUGCCUCCUCUCGCGCAGCACAAUUGCGUCUGCGAGGGGGCGUGGCCCGCAUCCACGAAGCAACAUUACCGUCUUUGACCUCGGAUCAGGUAGGGAUACCCGCUGAACUUAA
This 248-nucleotide unclassified non-coding RNA is filed under the name Paraphaeosphaeria sp. RNAcentral's name for it is "partial contains 5.8S ribosomal RNA, internal transcribed spacer 2, and large subunit ribosomal RNA". Lineage: Eukaryota; Fungi; Ascomycota; Dothideomycetes; Pleosporales; Didymosphaeriaceae. RNAcentral also lists the same sequence under 3 other names. The record is from RNAcentral.